AAUUUUUAAUAUUAGAAAAUAAAAUAAUUGAAAUAAUCAUAUAAACAUUAUUUUCAAAUUUUUAAAAAAUUUUUAAAAAAUAAAUAAAUAAAUAUAUAAUUUAAAAAUAGAAACUAUUAAAGAAUUUAAUUUUAACAUUAUUUUUUAUAAUUUAAAAUAUAUAAAAAUUA
This 170-nucleotide transfer RNA is filed under the name Pneumocystis jirovecii. RNAcentral describes it as "tRNA-Pseudo(GAA)". The record is from RNAcentral. Lineage: Eukaryota; Fungi; Ascomycota; Pneumocystomycetes; Pneumocystales; Pneumocystaceae.